Molecule: ribosomal RNA, 468 nt
Filed under: uncultured bacterium
Lineage: Bacteria
Description: partial 16S ribosomal RNA
Rfam family: Bacterial small subunit ribosomal RNA
Source: RNAcentral
GACGAACGCUGGCGGCGUGCUUAACACAUGCAAGUCGAACGGAAACGCCCUGCUUUUGUGGGGUGCUCGAGUGGCGAACGGAUGAGUAACACGUGAGUAACCUGCUCUCGACUUUGGGAUAACUUCAGGUAAAUGGGGCUACUAACGGAUAGGAGCUCCUGCUGAAUGGAGGGGGUUGGAUAGUUUCGGCGGGUGGGGAUAGAUUCGCGGCUUAUGAGCUCGUUGGUGGGGUAGUGGCUUACCACGGCUUUGACGGGUAGGCGACAUGGGAGGGUGACCGGCCACAUUGGGACUGAGAUACGGCGCAGACUCCUACAGGGGGCAGCGGUGGCAAGUAUUGCACAAUGGGCGGGAGCCUGAGGCAGCAGCGCCGCGGGCGGAAUGACGGCCUUCGGGGUGUGAACCGCUUACGCCUGUGACGAAGCGUGAGUGACGUUAAUGGGUGAAGAAGCACCGGCUAACUACGUG